AAAACAACAACAAAGAAAUGAGAUUGCGUGUGCUCUGUGCUGUUUACUGUUGUGUUUGUACUUCACACUCUCUUUUCACUGUAUAUUUGGUUCUCUUUGUUUUAAUCAGUCCAACAAAGUGUUUUAUAACAGUUUUACAAUUUCUUUUUGACAGAUUCGUCAGCUAUAUUUAAUAGACUUGGAGAUGGGCCGCACAGUUUGUAAGAAAAAUGAUGAAGACAUUGACAAUUGCCCAUUACAGCAAGGCCCAGGAGAGAAAAGGGUGCGCUGCACUUAUAUCGUGGAGACUUUAGCAUGGAUUACCCAAUUCAACAUCAUUAACAGCACUUGUGUUUAGGCAUUGGCGAGAAAGGAAACCCUGGAUACAUGCAGCCAAAGUCUUCUUUCCUCUAGAAUGUGAUCAUCUGUGGUCCAAAGUCUGUGUAGCACCAGCACAAUUAAAAGCAUCUCACAACA
Molecule: long non-coding RNA, 456 nt
Organism: Nannospalax galili (Upper Galilee mountains blind mole rat)
Lineage: Eukaryota; Metazoa; Chordata; Mammalia; Rodentia; Spalacidae
Exons: 2
Source: RefSeq, a predicted model, not a curated record